GUCUUGUUGACUAUAAUUUCAAGUYUGACCUGCCCAGUGAGGAGUUAAACGGCCGCGGUAUUUUGACCGUGCAAAGGUAGCAUAAUCAUUAGUUUUUUAAUUGUAAGCUUGUAUGAAAGGUUUGAUGAAAAAAAGACUGUCUCUGUGAAAAUUUAUUAGAAUUUUAUUUUUAAGUUAGAAAGCUUAAAUAAAGAUAGAAGACGAGAAGACCCUAUAGAGUUUAAUAUUUUAUGGAUAGCUAGGUUUUAGGUUUAUAAAAUUUAGUUAUUUUAGAAAAUAUUUUGUUGGGGUGAUAGAAAAAUUGGAUAAACUUUUUUUUGGGGGUACAUUUAUUUGUGGGUAAUUGAUCCUAGUGUAUAGAUUAUAAGAAAAAAUUACCUUAGGGAUAACAGCGUAAUUUUUUUUAGAGUUCUUAUCGAAAAAAGAGAUUGCGACCUCGAUGUUGGAUUAAAAUUUAUUUCUGGCGCAGAAGCUAGGAAAUUAGGUCUGUUCGACCUUUAAAAUUUUACAUGAUCUGAGUUUAAACCGGUGUGAG
This 535-nucleotide ribosomal RNA is filed under the name Trigonopterus sp. 105 AR-2022a. RNAcentral describes it as "partial large subunit ribosomal RNA". Lineage: Eukaryota; Metazoa; Arthropoda; Insecta; Coleoptera; Curculionidae. The record is from RNAcentral.